This 463-nucleotide ribosomal RNA is filed under the name uncultured Peptococcaceae bacterium. RNAcentral's name for it is "partial 16S ribosomal RNA". It matches the Rfam family "Bacterial small subunit ribosomal RNA", at positions 338 to 794 of the family's 1533-position model. Lineage: Bacteria; Bacillati; Bacillota; Clostridia; Eubacteriales; Peptococcaceae. The record is from RNAcentral.
CCUACGGGAGGCAGCAGUGGGGAAUAUUGCGCAAUGGGGGAAACCCUGACGCAGCAACGCCGCGUGAGCGAAGAAGGCCUUCGGGUCGUAAAGCUCUGUCAUCAGGGACGAAGGCUACUACAUGAAAAAGGUAGUAGGUGACGGUACCUGAGGAGGAAGCCCCGGCUAACUACGUGCCAGCAGCCGCGGUAAUACGUAGGGGGCAAGCGUUGUCCGGAAUUACUGGGCGUAAAGGGCGUGUAGGCGGUUACCUAAGUCAGGGGUGAAAACUGACGGCUCAACCGGAAGAUUGCACCUGAAACUGGGUGGCUGGAGGGCAGGAGAGGGAAGUGGAAUUCCUAGUGUAGGGGUGAAAUGCGUAGAUAUUAGGAGGAACACCAGUGGCGAAGGCGGCUUUCUGGCCUGACCCUGACGCUGAGGCGCGAAAGCGUGGGGAGCAAACAGGAUUAGAUCCCCGGGUAGU